AGCGAACGCUGGCGGCAGGCUUAACACAUGCAAGUCGAGCGGGCAUAGCAAUAUGUCAGCGGCAGACGGGUGAGUAACGCGGGGGAACGUACCUUUAGGUUCGGAACAACUGAGGGAAACUUCAGCUAAUACCGGAUAAGCCCUUACGGGGAAAGAUUUAUCGCCGAAAGAUCGGCCCGCGUCUGAUUAGCUAGUUGGUGAGGUAAUGGCUCACCAAGGCGACGAUCAGUAGCCGGUCUGAGAGGAUGAUCAGCCACAUUGGGACUGAGACACGGCCCAAACUCCUACGGGAGGCAGCAGUGGGGAAUAUUGGACAAUGGGCGCAAGCCUGAUCCAGCCAUGCCGCGUGAGUGAUGAAGGCCCUAGGGUUGUAAAGCUCUUUUGUGCGGGAAGAUAAUGACGGUACCGCAAGAAUAAGCCCCGGCUAACUUCGUG
This 435-nucleotide ribosomal RNA is filed under the name uncultured bacterium. RNAcentral describes it as "partial 16S ribosomal RNA". It matches the Rfam family "Bacterial small subunit ribosomal RNA", at positions 29 to 507 of the family's 1533-position model. The record is from RNAcentral.